GACGAACGCUGGCGGCGUGCUUAACACAUGCAAGUCGAACGGUGAAGCGCCUUCCUUUUUGGUGGGUGUGGAUGAGUGGCGAACGGGUGAGUAACACGUGAGUAACCUGCCCCCUUCUUCUGGAUAACCGCAUGAAAGUGUGGCUAAUACGGGAUAUUCUGGGUCUGUCGCAUGAUGGGUCUGGGAAAGAUAUGGUUUCGGUGGGGGAUGGGCUCGCGGCCUAUCAGCUUGUUGGUGGGGUGAUGGCCUACCAAGGCGGUGACGGGUAGCCGGCCUGAGAGGGUGGACGGUCACACUGGGACUGAGACACGGCCCAGACUCCUACGGGAGGCAGCAGUGGGGAAUAUUGCACAAUGGGCGCAAGCCUGAUGCAGCGACGCCGCGUGAGGGAUGGAGGCCUUCGGGUUGUGAACCUCUUUCGCCAGUGAAGCAGGCCUGCCUCGUUUGUGGGUGGGUUGACGGUAGCUGGAUAAGAAGCGCCGGCUAACUACGUG
This 494-nucleotide ribosomal RNA is filed under the name uncultured bacterium. RNAcentral's name for it is "partial 16S ribosomal RNA". It matches the Rfam family "Bacterial small subunit ribosomal RNA", at positions 28 to 507 of the family's 1533-position model. The record is from RNAcentral.